GAUGAACGCUGACAGAAUGCUUAACACAUGCAAGUCAACUUGAAUUUGGGUUUUUAACUUAGGUUUGGGUGGCGGACGGGUGAGUAACGCGUAAAGAACUUGCCUCACAGCUAGGGACAACAUUUGGAAACGAAUGCUAAUACCUAAUAUUAUGAUAAUAGGGCAUCCUAUAAUUAUGAAAGCUAUAAGCGCUGUGAGAGAGCUUUGCGUCCCAUUAGCUAGUUGGAGAGGUAACGGCUCACCAAGGCGAUGAUGGGUAGCCGGCCUGAGAGGGUGAUCGGCCACAAGGGGACUGAGACACGGCCCUUACUCCGACGGGAGGCAGCAGUGGGGAAUAUUGGACAAUGGACCGAGAGUCUGAUCCAGCAAUUCUGUGUGCACGAUGAAGUUUUUCGGAAUGUAAAGUGCUUUCAGUUGGGAAGAAACAAAUGACGGUACCAACAGAAGAAGUGACGGCUAAAUACGUG
RNAcentral lists this ribosomal RNA (467 nucleotides) under uncultured bacterium. Its description in RNAcentral is "partial 16S ribosomal RNA". It matches the Rfam family "Bacterial small subunit ribosomal RNA", at positions 28 to 507 of the family's 1533-position model. The record is from RNAcentral.